GCCCUUUUAGCUCAGUGGUUAGAGCACUGGUCUUGUAAACCAGGGGUCGAUAGUUCAAUUCUGUCAAGGGGCA
RNAcentral lists this transfer RNA (73 nucleotides) under Mayetiola destructor (Hessian fly). Its description in RNAcentral is "tRNA-Thr for anticodon UGU". It matches the Rfam family "tRNA". Rfam says of the family: Transfer RNA (tRNA) molecules are approximately 80 nucleotides in length. Their secondary structure includes four short double-helical elements and three loops (D, anti-codon, and T loops). Further hydrogen bonds mediate the characteristic L-shaped molecular structure. tRNAs have two regions of fundamental functional importance: the anti-codon, which is responsible for specific mRNA codon recognition, and the 3' end, to which the tRNAs corresponding amino acid is attached (by aminoacyl-tRNA synthetases). tRNAs cope with the degeneracy of the genetic code in two manners: having more than one tRNA (with a specific anti-codon) for a particular amino acid; and 'wobble' base-pairing, i.e. permitting non-standard base-pairing at the 3rd anti-codon position. Lineage: Eukaryota; Metazoa; Arthropoda; Insecta; Diptera; Cecidomyiidae. The record is from RNAcentral.